Molecule: ribosomal RNA, 552 nt
Filed under: uncultured bacterium
Lineage: Bacteria
Description: bacterial SSU rRNA
Rfam family: Bacterial small subunit ribosomal RNA
Source: RNAcentral
UGCGUAGAUAUCAGGAGGAAUACCGAUGGCGAAGGCAGUCUCUGGGCUGACACUGACGCUCAUCACGAAAGCGUGGGAGCAAACAGGAUUAGAUACCCUGGUAGUCCACGCCUAAACGAUGUCGACUGGUUGUUGGGGGUUUGACACUCUCAGUAACGAAGCUAACGCGUGAAGUCGACCGCCUGGGGAGUACGGCCGCAAGGUUAAAACUCAAAGGAAUUGACGGGGACCCGCACAAGCGGUGGAUUAUGUGGAUUAAUUCGAUGCAACGCGAAAAACCUUACCUACCCUUGACAUGUCCCGAAGCCCGGUGAGAGCUGGGUGUGCCCGAAAGGGAACGGGAACACAGGUGCUGCAUGGCUGUCGUCAGCUCGUGUCGUGAGAUGUUGGGUUAAGUCCCGCAACGAGCGCAACCCUUGUCAUUAGUUGCUACAUUUGGUUGGGCACUCUAAUGAGACUGCCGGUGACAAACCGGAGGAAGGUGGGGAUGACGUCAAGUCCUCAUGGCCCUUAUGGGUAGGGCUUCACACGUAAUACAAUGGCGCGUACAGA